ACUGAACGCUGGCGGCACGCCUAACACAUGCAAGUCGAGCGAACAGACGGAGCGCUUGCUCGUCUGCAGCAGGCGGCGGGCGGGUGAUUACCACGAGGCUAACUUAACUAUAAGAAUAGGAUAACUUCGGGAAACCUGAGCUAUUACCGGAUCAGAUGUUGAACCGCGUGGUUCUUCGGACAUAGCCCCUCCUGCUGAGCCUUAUACAUGGACCCGAGCCGCAUUAGCUAGUUGGUAAGGUAAAGGCUUACCUAGGCAACGAUGCGUAGCCGACCUGAGAGGGUGAUCGGCCACACUGGAACUGAGACACGGUCCAGACUCCUACGGGAGGCAGCAGUAGGGAAUCUUGCGCAAUGGGCGAAAGCCUGACGCAGCAACGCCGCGUGAGUGAGGAAGGUCUUCGGAUCGUAAAACACUGUUAGUAGGGAAGAACGAAGGUGUAAUUAACUAUGCACGUCUUGACGGUACCUAAGCAAAAAGCCACGGCUAACUUCGUG
Molecule: ribosomal RNA, 497 nt
Filed under: uncultured bacterium
Lineage: Bacteria
Description: partial 16S ribosomal RNA
Rfam family: Bacterial small subunit ribosomal RNA
Source: RNAcentral